Molecule: non-coding RNA, 240 nt
Organism: Caedibacter sp. 38-128
Lineage: Bacteria; Pseudomonadati; Pseudomonadota; Gammaproteobacteria; Thiotrichales; Fastidiosibacteraceae
Source: Rfam
AUAAUGACCAAGGAAAAGUUUAGCCAACAGCCUUGCACCGAGUCUUGCGUGGUGAAUGGUAACAAACACCGCGAAGCGUAGACAGGGAGAUAGCAGGCUGGAACCGAAAGGUGAAGAGGAUAAUUAACCCCAAAAUCCUCCGAAUUGUGAAGUCGUCGACCUCAUGCGGGGCUUGAGGGAAGACAGCAAUCUAUUAGUCGUUAAAGGUGAGACUAAGAGGUGACUUCUGGAGUUAGUACC